Molecule: ribosomal RNA, 253 nt
Filed under: uncultured bacterium
Lineage: Bacteria
Description: partial 16S ribosomal RNA
Rfam family: Bacterial small subunit ribosomal RNA
Source: RNAcentral
UACGUAGGUGGCAAGCGUUGUCCGGAUUUAUUGGGUUUAAAGGGUGCGUAGGCGGUCUAUUAAGUCAGUGCUGAAAUAUCCCGGCUUAACCGGGAGGGUGGCAUUGAUACUGAUGGACUUGAGUAAAGUUGAGGUAGGCGGAAUUGACGGUGUAGCGGUGAAAUGCUUAGAUAUCGUCAAGAACACCGAUAGUGUAGACAGCUUACUAAGCUUUAACUGACGCUGAGGCACGAAAGUGUGGGGAUCAAACAGG